Molecule: ribosomal RNA, 253 nt
Filed under: uncultured bacterium
Lineage: Bacteria
Description: partial 16S ribosomal RNA
Rfam family: Bacterial small subunit ribosomal RNA
Source: RNAcentral
UACGGAGGGUGCAAGCGUUAAUCGGAAUUACUGGGCGUAAAGCGCACGUAGGUGGUUUGUUAAGCCAGCUGUGAAAUCCCCGGGCUCAACCUGGGCACUGCAGUUGGAACUGGCAAGCUAGAGUAGGGUAGAGGGGUGUGGAAUUCCAGGUGUAGCGGUGAAAUGCGUAGAUAUCUGGAGGAACACCGGUGGCGAAGGCGGCAUCCUGGACCAACACUGACACUGAGGAGCGAAAGCCAGGGGAGCAAACGGG